UCUAUUAUGGCAGAUUAGUGCAAUGGAUUUAAGCUCCAAAAAUAAAGAAAAUUUUCUUUUUUUAGAA
Molecule: transfer RNA, 67 nt
Filed under: Ips grandicollis
Lineage: Eukaryota; Metazoa; Arthropoda; Insecta; Coleoptera; Curculionidae
Description: tRNA-Leu
Source: RNAcentral